RNAcentral lists this transfer RNA (88 nucleotides) under Betaproteobacteria bacterium. Its description in RNAcentral is "tRNA-Ser". It matches the Rfam family "tRNA". Rfam says of the family: Transfer RNA (tRNA) molecules are approximately 80 nucleotides in length. Their secondary structure includes four short double-helical elements and three loops (D, anti-codon, and T loops). The record is from RNAcentral. Lineage: Bacteria; Pseudomonadati; Pseudomonadota; Betaproteobacteria.
GGAAGGGUGGCAGAGCGGUCUAAUGCACCGGUCUUGAAAACCGGCAGGGCGCAAGCCCUCGCGAGUUCGAAUCUCGCCCCUUCCGCCA